This 417-nucleotide ribosomal RNA is filed under the name uncultured Flexibacteraceae bacterium. RNAcentral's name for it is "bacterial SSU rRNA". It matches the Rfam family "Bacterial small subunit ribosomal RNA", at positions 1074 to 1502 of the family's 1533-position model. The record is from RNAcentral. Lineage: Bacteria; Pseudomonadati; Bacteroidota; Cytophagia; Cytophagales; Cytophagaceae.
UUGGGUUAGUCCGCAACGAGCGCACCCCCAUCAUUAGUUGCCAUCAGGUAAAGCUGGGAACUCUAGUGAAACUGCCGUCGUAAGACGCGAGGAAGGAGGGGAUGAUGUCAAGUCAUCAUGGCCUUUAUGCCCAGGGCUACACACGUGCUACAAUGGGGAGGACAAAGGGCUGCCACUUGGCAACAAGGCGCUAAUCCCAAAAACCUCCUCUCAGUUCAGAUUGGAGUCUGCAACUCGACUCCAUGAAGCUGGAAUCGCUAGUAAUCGUAGAUCAGCAACGCUACGGUGAAUACGUUCCCGGACCUUGCACACACCGCCCGUCAAGCCAUGGAAGCCGGGUGUACCUAAAGUCGGUAACCGCAAGGAGCCGCCUAGGGUAAAACUGGUGACUGGGGCUAAGUCGUAACAAGGUAACCA